RNAcentral lists this long non-coding RNA (282 nucleotides) under Gossypium barbadense (sea-island cotton). Its description in RNAcentral is "long non-coding RNA (GBAR_LNC020215)". The record is from RNAcentral. Lineage: Eukaryota; Viridiplantae; Streptophyta; Magnoliopsida; Malvales; Malvaceae.
GUUGAUAGGUUUUCAAGGAACUCCAAAUAUUUCCCAAGGUUGUCGCUGACUUCGACUCCCAGUAUUUGCUUAAAGAUUAUCAUAAACAUUAGAGGGCAAUUUGGACUAAUAAAGAGAUUAGAUUUAUCCAAAUUUAAGCACUGACCAGAGAAAGCAAAUAAGAACUGAUCCUGUCCUUGACAACUCUGCAUUCUUCCAAGUAUGCGGUGAAGAAAAGGAAGCUGUCAUCAAUAUGUGAGUUAUUGGAUUACUCCAUCCGCUGACCUUGAAACCAUGUAAUUG